AUUGAACGCUGGCGGCAGGCCUAACACAUGCAAGUCGAGCGGAUGAAGGGAGCUUGCUCCUGGAUUCAGCGGCGGACGGGUGAGUAAUGCCUAGGAAUCUGCCUGGUAGUGGGGGAUAACGUCCGGAAACGGGCGCUAAUACCGCCUACGUCCUGAGGGAGAAAGUGGGGGAUCUUCGGACCUCACGCUAUCAGAUGAGCCUAGGUCGGAUUAGCUAGUUGGUGGGGUAAGGGCCUACCAAGGCGACGAUCCGUAACUGGUCUGAGAGGAUGAUCAGUCACACUGGAACUGAGACACGGUCCAUACUCCUACGGGAGGCAGCAGUGGGGAAUAUUGGACAAUGGGCGAAAGCCUGAUCCAGCCAUGCCGCGUGUGUGAAGAAGGUCUUCGGAUUGUAAAGCACUUUAAGUUGGGAGGAAGGGCAGUAAGUUAAUACCUUGCUGUUUUGACGUUACCAACAGAAUAAGCACCGGCUAACUUCGUG
Molecule: ribosomal RNA, 484 nt
Filed under: uncultured bacterium
Lineage: Bacteria
Description: partial 16S ribosomal RNA
Rfam family: Bacterial small subunit ribosomal RNA
Source: RNAcentral